Small nuclear RNA from Dipodomys ordii (Ord's kangaroo rat), 107 nucleotides. Lineage: Eukaryota; Metazoa; Chordata; Mammalia; Rodentia; Heteromyidae. The record is from Ensembl.
GUACUUGUUCCAGCAGCACAUAUACUAAAACUGGAACAAUACAGAGAAGAUUAGUAUGGCCCCUGCACAAAGAUGAUACACAGAUUCGUGAAGUGUCCCAUAUAAAA